This is a non-coding RNA of Chrysochloris asiatica (Cape golden mole), 71 nucleotides long. NCBI's taxonomy places the organism in Eukaryota, Metazoa, Chordata, Mammalia, Afrosoricida, Chrysochloridae. The record is from the annotation of a RefSeq genome assembly.
GCAUUGGUGGCUUAAUGGUAGAGUUCUCACCUGCCACCCAGGAGACCUGGGUUCAAUUCCCAGCCAAUGCA